RNAcentral lists this transfer RNA (73 nucleotides) under Stegodyphus mimosarum. It matches the Rfam family "tRNA". From Rfam's summary of the family: Transfer RNA (tRNA) molecules are approximately 80 nucleotides in length. Their secondary structure includes four short double-helical elements and three loops (D, anti-codon, and T loops). The record is from Rfam by way of RNAcentral. Lineage: Eukaryota; Metazoa; Arthropoda; Arachnida; Araneae; Eresidae.
GCCUUCGUGAUGUAGUGGUCAGCACACUCGGUGUGUAUUCCAGAGGUCCGUGGUUCGAGUCCCGGCGAGGGCA